UACGUAGGUGGCAAGCGUUGUCCGGAUUUAUUGGGUCUAAAGGGUGCGUAGGCGGCCUUGUAAGUCAGUGCUGAAAUAUCCCGGCUUAACCGGGAGGGUGGCAUUGAUACUGCAGGGCUUGAGUAAAGUUGAGGUUGGCGGAAUUGACGGUGUAGCGGUGAAAUGCUUAGAUAUCGUCAAGAACACCGAUAGUGAAGACAGCUAACUAAGCUUUAACUGACGCUGAGGCACGAAAGUGUGGGGAUCAAACAGG
Molecule: ribosomal RNA, 253 nt
Filed under: uncultured bacterium
Lineage: Bacteria
Description: partial 16S ribosomal RNA
Rfam family: Bacterial small subunit ribosomal RNA
Source: RNAcentral